GCGCCAGUCGGUUGGCUGCCCAAGAGUCCGGUUGUGGGCUCCGGCACUGACUGAGGGCGCUGCCCUACAAAGGCUGCUUGGAGGGAGUUCAUCAGAAAAAUUGGCAUCCCUUUGCAGUAAAGUACUCAAGCAGCGCGGGAGAGCUCGGAGUAGAGUGGGCGUCCAUCACUUGCCCAUGUAAUGAAGUUCCUUUAAUAGGAGAGCUGGAAUCCGAGCCCUCUGCGGCCUCCAGCCCUCCGUACAGAGUGCAGUGUGGAGCUGUCCUGCAGCCCAGAGCUGAAGCCAAGACCCUGAAGGGCCUCCUGACCAGGUGCCUCUGAAAGGAAGUGGCCCAGGGUUCACGGAUAAUCAAGUGCCACCUUUUCAGGGGUGGAAAUGAGGAAUUUGAAGGAGAAGAAGGAUGCUGCGCGCGUUUGAACAGCCCUUACCCGGCAUCUGCUCCUCGGGAGCAGGCUGUGUGAAGGAUGCACGACGCUGGUUCCAAGACUCAGCCUUGCCGCCCCCUCCUCCAGGAAAAGGUGCCCCGCCGAAGCUCCCACAACACCUGCCUUUCCCUUGCCCGCAGUGGCUGUUGCCACCUCCCCUCCCUGCUGUUUUCUCUUCCCCUUUCCCUUGACUGGUGGACUUUCACUUCCCGGGCCCUUCUGACAAGCUGCACCCAGCUGCUGCCUUUGAACUGUCCCCACGCUUCCUGCCCUCCGCCCCCUGCCGCCCACGCACGGUGACCCCCGUGUGGGGAGCGCUGCUGCCCACGGAGCCUCCUCCCCGGCCGGGCCCCCUGCGCCCCCGCGCGCGCGCGCGUCUGUUACGGCAAGGAAGUGCGAACUCCCCAGCCUCCGCAGGCAGCCCAGGCCACUGGCGGCCGUGGCGCUCUCUUCCCGCCCGCUCUUCAGGGAAGCUGGCUCCGGGGUCGGCUCCCAGUUCGUUCAACAGUACCACCGAUCCCGUCUACGAAAGAGGCCCUGGCUCCGAAGCGCCUCUGCAGCCCGGAUGCCCGGCCGGCCCUCUCCAGCUCACAGAUGGCUGGCCUGGCAGGGGCGCUGCGGGUAGGUCUGAACUUGCCCGAGGCCACGCGGGUUCGUUAGAAUGCCGGGCCUGACUCCAGGGCACGGGUUCUUUGUGGAGGGUUUGACCCAAAGGCCCAGGAGUGCAGGCUUGUGCCGUCCUCCCCUACAGCCUGCCCUCCAUUCUCACGGCUCCCCCCAGGAGCAAGUCCCAACUGAUUCCUCAGCCAGGGAGAAGGCCACGUGGACAAGCCCAGGCCCGGGGCCCAGGGUUUGCCUGCCCUGCUUCCCUCCCUCCCUCCCUCCACCAUUCCACGUCUCACCCAGAGGCCCAGCUCUCCCCUACCAACCACUCCAGCCCAGCUGAUCUCAUCCAAAAAGCCACAAGCCACCCUUCUGGCUCUUGAUUUCCUAGUGUCCUGUGUGUUUACGGUUCUACUUCAUUUGCAGACAGUAGCACAGAGGUAGAGAUUAGGGAUGGGCUUUGGAGUCAAAUGAGCUCGUGUUCAAAUCCUGGCUCCAUUGCUGUGUGCCCCUGGGCAAGCUACUGAACCUUUCUUGGCUUUAAUUACUUCCUCUAUAAAAGUAGGUAUAAUCACACUUGUUGCAAAUGUUAUUUCCCUGAGCAUUAAAGGAAAAUUUUCUCAUCCAACAAAAAUUUACUGGUGUCUACUAUUUACCAGGCACUUACUGUAGAGGAGGGUAUGGUGGUGUACAAGACAAACUCCUUGUCCUCAAAGUACUUACGUUCUGGUGGGUGACAGACAGUAAACAUGUAGCCAAACAAAUCAUUUUAGUGAUAAUUGCUAUUUUAAGAAAAGACCAUAGAGAGUGAUUAGAUUAGGAGAGGUACGGAGUAGUAGUUUAGAUGGGGUGACUCCGGAAGGAUGUCUGAAGAGGUGACAUUUGAGCAGGGAUCUGAAUGAUGCAAAGGAGUGAGCUGUGCAAACAUCUGGGGAGAGCAGGUGUAAAGAUCCUGAAGCAGCAAUGAGGUCGAUGUGUUCACAGAACAACAGUAACACCCGUGCAGCUAGGGUAGGGUACAAGAGAGGAGCAAGGUAGGAGUUAAGAUCAGAGAGGUAAUACGGGAGGAGAAGGUUUAGCAUGUAGUCAGUGCUCCAUAAAUUCUAACUAUUCUUCAGGGUGUCUUAUUUUCCUAACAAGGCUGUAUGCUCCAUUCACUGAACAAAUAUUGACUGUGUGCCUACCAGAUGUCAGGCAGUGUGCUACAAGAUAGGAAUAUGAAAAUGAACAAGACAGAUGUGGGAGAGGAAAGUAAGAAAAUGAGCAGGGUGCUGGGCAGGGUCAGAGACAGCUGAGGCUCCCCUCCUUCGAGCUGAGGGGCUGAACUUAGCUCAAGGGCAUCCUGAUGCUUGCCGUGCUAUUGUACAGUACUGGCCAGGAAAGUGCCCAGGGAAUCGUUCUUUGAAUAUUAAGAGAUGAAAAAAGAGAUACAGGGUAAAUAUGAACCAAAAAACCUCCAGAGUAGCAAUUUUAAUAUCACCCAAAAUAGACUUUCAGGUGGAAAACAUCAUAAGGGACAAAGAAGACUUUAUAUGCAGUGGAAGUCAAAUGAAUGACUCAAUUAGUGAGCUCAAUCUAAUAAAAAGCUUUAUACUUAACAAAUAAAGAAUAUACAUUUUUUUCAAGAAUAUAUGGGAGACUCCAAAGAUCAGUCACCUACUAGUCAUGCACCUCAGUAAAUUUUAAAAAAUCAACAUCAUACAGCCCAUGUUCUCUAUCACAAUACAAUAAAUUUGGAAAUCAUUAACAAAAGAAUAGCUUCAAGGGGCCCCUGGGUGGCUCAGUAGGUUAAG
Molecule: long non-coding RNA, 2821 nt
Organism: Mirounga angustirostris (Northern elephant seal)
Lineage: Eukaryota; Metazoa; Chordata; Mammalia; Carnivora; Phocidae
Exons: 3
Source: RefSeq, a predicted model, not a curated record